Long non-coding RNA from Orbicella faveolata, 916 nucleotides. The record is from RefSeq and is a predicted model, not a curated record. NCBI's taxonomy places the organism in Eukaryota, Metazoa, Cnidaria, Anthozoa, Scleractinia, Merulinidae.
AUGGUAAUCAAAAUAGCGCUUCCAUUUAAAUUUGAAAUCGUUGAACUUGAGAUUCAACGCCUCAUUAAUUCCCGAUUAUGACCGUAGCAUCCUUUGGCCUGGACUGGACCUGACUGGUCAAAGAAUUAACUGAAAUAUCACAACUACGGCUUAAACCUUUAGAAAAACUAAAAAAAACACAGGAAAGGCAAAAUAGGGCAUAGAUGGGCAAAAUUGGAGAAGAUUUACAUGUAUUUUAAUGGGGUAAACUUGCAGCGGCGUGACCUCUUUCAAAUUCACAUAAAUUUGUUUUAGAGUGUUAUUUAUAAUAACCAGAAUCAUUCUUUGACCUGGACCCUUUAAACACCAGUCAAAGUGAAUGCAUUGAAAUUGGGUUUGGCCCUGGAUUCGAAUGCGUAACCACGUGCCUCUUGUAUUUCCCAUCAAUCCAUGCGGUACGUGUUAUAUCUAGAUAAUAGGCUUUGAGAAGUUCCAGGAUUCACAUGCUUGUGUUUCACAAACUGCCUCCUGUUUGUAGACAGCAAGUUAGAUGAUAUAUUCUUGCUGUGCUGGCUGGGGUGUACUCGAUCCUCAAAAGCCAACACACCGAGGGUUGAUCAGAUGUAGCAAGCUUAAUUCCACGACGUAGACGACUGUACGGAGGCUAAACCAGGCAGUACUUGAAGUUGUGUGACAUUUAGGCGGCUAACACAGAUCACAUAUGAAGAACCGAUUUUAGACGGAUUUCACCAGUGGAGGUGUAUGAUGUUAUAUUCUUGGCCUCCUGGAGGACACAUGCAUGACACAUAAUGUAUCAAACAGUCAUCAAUUUCAUGAGCUGGGGAGUGCCAACAGCCCAAGAUACUGUUACAUGUUCAUUUAAUUCCAGGAUUUAAUUCUGUCUUUGAAAGAGUGGCCAAUAAAACUGUUUAUUGUA